This 453-nucleotide ribosomal RNA is filed under the name uncultured Paludibacter sp. RNAcentral's name for it is "partial 16S ribosomal RNA". It matches the Rfam family "Bacterial small subunit ribosomal RNA", at positions 341 to 792 of the family's 1533-position model. The record is from RNAcentral. Lineage: Bacteria; Pseudomonadati; Bacteroidota; Bacteroidia; Bacteroidales; Paludibacteraceae.
ACGGAAGGCAGCAGUGAGGAAUAUUGGUCAAUGGGCGGAAGCCUGAACCAGCCAAGUCGCGUGAAGGAUGAAGGUAUUAUGUAUUGUAAACUUCUUUAGCCAGGGGGCAAUAAGGCGUACGCGUACGCCGAUGAGAGUACCUGGAGAAUAAGGAUCGGCUAACUCCGUGCCAGCAGCCGCGGUAAUACGGAGGAUCCGAGCGUUAUCCGGAUUUAUUGGGUUUAAAGGGUGCGCAGGCGGCUUUUUAAGUCAGUGGUUAAAUCGUGACGCUCAACGUCAUCACGCCAUUGAUACUGGAGAGCUUGAUUGCGGUCGAGGUUUGCGGAAUUCGUCGUGUAGCGGUGAAAUGCAUAGAUAUGACGAAGAACACCGAUUGCGUAGGCAGCUUACCAGGCCGUUAAUGACGCUCAUGCACGAAAGUGCGGGGAUCGAACAGGAUUAGAUACCCUGGUA